RNAcentral lists this ribosomal RNA (216 nucleotides) under uncultured Glomeromycotina. RNAcentral describes it as "partial small subunit ribosomal RNA". The stretch from base 47 to 216 matches the Rfam family "Eukaryotic small subunit ribosomal RNA", at positions 693 to 864 of the family's 1831-position model. The record is from RNAcentral. Lineage: Eukaryota; Fungi; Glomeromycota.
GGAUCAAUAUGUCGGUCGUGCCAUCGGUACGCACUGGUAUCAUUGGUUUCUCCUUUCUGACGAACCAUGAUGUCAUUAAUUUGGUGUUAUGGGGAGUUAGGACUGUUACUUUGAAAAAAUUAGAGUGUUUAAAGCAGGCUUUAGCUUGAAUACGUUAGCAUGGAAUAAUGAAAUAGGACGUUCGAACCUAUUUUGUUGGUUUCUAGGAUUGACGUA